CAGUAGCCGCGGGAAUACAGAGGGUGCGAGCGUUAAUCGGAUUUACUGGGCGUAAAGCGUGCGUAGGCGGCUAAUUGAGUCGGAUGUGAAAUCCCCGAGCUUAACUUGGGAAUUGCAUUCGAUACUGGUUAGCUAGAGUGUGGGAGAGGAUGGUAGAAUUCCAGGUGUAGCGGUGAAAUGCGUAGAGAUCUGGAGGAAUACCGAUGGCGAAGGCAGCCAUCUGGCCUAACACUGACGCUGAGGUACGAAAGCGUGGGGAGCAAACAGGAUUAGAUACCCGCGUAGUCCCUGUCUCUUAUAC
This 301-nucleotide ribosomal RNA is filed under the name uncultured bacterium. Its description in RNAcentral is "partial 16S ribosomal RNA". It matches the Rfam family "Bacterial small subunit ribosomal RNA", at positions 509 to 807 of the family's 1533-position model. The record is from RNAcentral.